AAAAAAAAAAAAAAAAAAAAAAAAACAAUAAAACAAUAAAACAAUAAAAUAAAUACAAAAUGGCA
This 65-nucleotide ribosomal RNA is filed under the name Stygamoeba regulata. Its description in RNAcentral is "partial Trypanosomatid mitochondrial large subunit ribosomal RNA". The record is from RNAcentral. Lineage: Eukaryota; Discosea; Stygamoebida.